GACGAACGCUGGCGGCGUGCCUAAUACAUGCAAGUUGAGCGAUGAAGAUUGGUGCUUGCACCAAUUUGAAGAGCAGCGAACGGGUGAGUAACGCGUGGGGAAUCUGCCUUUGAGCGGGGGACAACAUUUGGAAACGAAUGCUAAUACCGCAUAACAACUUUAAACAUAAGUUUUAAGUUUGAAAGAUGCAAUUGCAUCACUCAAAGAUGAUCCCGCGUUGUAUUAGCUAGUUGGUGAGGUAAAGGCUCACCAAGGCGAUGAUACAUAGCCGACCUGAGAGGGUGAUCGGCAAAAUUGGGACUGAGACACGGCCCAAACUCCUACGGGAGGCAGCAGUAGGGAAUCUUCGGCAAUGGACGAAAGUCUGACCGAGCAACGCCGCGUGAGUGAAGAAGGUUUUCGGAUCGUAAAACUCUGUUGGUAGAGAAGAACGUUGGUGAGAGUGGAAAGCUCAUCAAGUGACGGUAACUACCCAGAAAGGGACGGCUAACUACGUG
Molecule: ribosomal RNA, 497 nt
Filed under: uncultured bacterium
Lineage: Bacteria
Description: partial 16S ribosomal RNA
Rfam family: Bacterial small subunit ribosomal RNA
Source: RNAcentral